RNAcentral lists this ribosomal RNA (213 nucleotides) under uncultured Staphylococcus sp. RNAcentral describes it as "partial 16S ribosomal RNA". It matches the Rfam family "Bacterial small subunit ribosomal RNA", at positions 1009 to 1222 of the family's 1533-position model. The record is from RNAcentral. Lineage: Bacteria; Bacillati; Bacillota; Bacilli; Caryophanales; Staphylococcaceae.
AGUUUUCCCCUUCGGGGGANAGAGUGACAGGUGGUGCAUGGUUGUCGUCAGCUCGUGUCGUGAGAUGUUGGGUUAAGUCCCGCAACGAGCGCAACCCUUAAGCUUAGUUGCCAUCAUUAAGUUGGGCACUCUAAGUUGACUGCCGGUGACAAACCGGAGGAAGGUGGGGAUGACGUCAAAUCAUCAUGCCCCUUAUGAUUUGGGCUACACACG